GGUGGCUCAGUGGUAGAGCUCUUGCCUUGCAUGCAUGAGGCCCUGGGUUCGUUUCCUCAGCACCA
Molecule: transfer RNA, 65 nt
Filed under: Dipodomys ordii (Ord's kangaroo rat)
Lineage: Eukaryota; Metazoa; Chordata; Mammalia; Rodentia; Heteromyidae
Rfam family: tRNA
About the family: Transfer RNA (tRNA) molecules are approximately 80 nucleotides in length. Their secondary structure includes four short double-helical elements and three loops (D, anti-codon, and T loops). Further hydrogen bonds mediate the characteristic L-shaped molecular structure. tRNAs have two regions of fundamental functional importance: the anti-codon, which is responsible for specific mRNA codon recognition, and the 3' end, to which the tRNAs corresponding amino acid is attached (by aminoacyl-tRNA synthetases). tRNAs cope with the degeneracy of the genetic code in two manners: having more than one tRNA (with a specific anti-codon) for a particular amino acid; and 'wobble' base-pairing, i.e. permitting non-standard base-pairing at the 3rd anti-codon position.
Source: Rfam by way of RNAcentral